AUUGAACGCUGGCGGCAUGCUUUACACAUGCAAGUCGAACGGCAGCGCGGGCUUCGGCCUGGCGGCGAGUGGCGAACGGGUGAGUAAUACAUCGGAACGUGCCCAGUAGUGGGGGAUAGCUCGGCGAAAGCCGGAUUAAUACCGCAUACGACCUGAGGGUGAAAGCGGGGGAUCUUCGGACCUCGCGCUAUUGGAGCGGCCGAUGGCAGAUUAGCUAGUUGGUGGGGUAAAGGCCUACCAAGGCGACGAUCUGUAGCUGGUCUGAGAGGACGACCAGCCACACUGGGACUGAGACACGGCCCAGACUCCUACGGGAGGCAGCAGUGGGGAAUUUUGGACAAUGGGCGAAAGCCUGAUCCAGCAAUGCCGCGUGUGUGAUGAAGGCCUUCGGGUUGUAAAGCACUUUUGGCGGGAACGAAAAGGACUGUGCCAAUACCACGGUUCGAGGACGGUACCCGCAGAAUAAGCACCGGCUAACUACGU
RNAcentral lists this ribosomal RNA (483 nucleotides) under uncultured bacterium. RNAcentral describes it as "partial 16S ribosomal RNA". It matches the Rfam family "Bacterial small subunit ribosomal RNA", at positions 29 to 506 of the family's 1533-position model. The record is from RNAcentral.